Molecule: long non-coding RNA, 611 nt
Organism: Canis lupus familiaris (dog)
Lineage: Eukaryota; Metazoa; Chordata; Mammalia; Carnivora; Canidae
Exons: 3
Source: RefSeq, a predicted model, not a curated record
AAAAGGUCAGAAAUACUGUCUUUCCCCGAAUCUUUAGCUUUCCUCCAAUAAUCCAUUAUGAAUCUGACAUCCACUAAUUUGCCUAAAUGUUCCUUGAACUUGAUGGGGUAAUGAGUUCCUCAACUUUGCUAUUACCUGUGAAGUAACAGAUGGAAAACCAGGGCUCAGGAAGAGGAUGUAGCUUGUUCAGGUCCUGCUGUGGCUGAACUGUAACCAGGAAGGGCAAUUUAGAGUCAUAAAAGACCAGCUGAGACAGAAGCGAAACUUUCCUCAACGGACCCAACCACGAUCAUGGAACCCCCUCCCCCAGAAGAGGGGCUGCCUUCGUAGCCCUCCCUUCGUAUCAUUAGUUUACCUAUUUAUAGGUAUGCCUGCUAUGGGUCAGCACUGUUCUGGGCUGUGGGCACGCAAGUGUUAACCAAACAUUCCCCCCCUCCCACCGUGUCCCCCCACCCCGGGGCUUACCAUCAAGCCUGUAUGUUUUGGCACAUUAUCCAUUAAAAGUCAAAUCCUGAGGAAUUCUCUAGGACCUUGCCCUCUCUGAAUGCAAUAAAGACACGUUGGAGAGGAAUGUGGAUGAGUUAGGGUCCAGCCAGUCAAGUGCUGUUUUU